UCCACCGGAAAAAGAAGAGUGGCGAACGGGUGAGUAACACGUGGGUAACCUGCCCAUCAGAAGGGGAUAACACUUGGAAACAGGUGCUAAUACCGUAUAACAAUCGAAACCGCAUGGUUUUGAUUUGAAAGGCGCUUUCGGGUGUCGCUGAUGGAUGGACCCGCGGUGCAUUAGCUAGUUGGUGAGGUAACGGCUCACCAAGGCCACGAUGCAUAGCCCACCUGAGAGGGUGAUCGGCCACAUUGGGACUGAGACACGGCCCAAACUCCUACGGGAGGCAGCAGUAGGGAAUCUUCGGCAAUGGACGAAAGUCUGACCGAGCAACGCCGCGUGAGUGAAGAAGGUUUUCGGAUCGUAAAACUCUGUUGUUAGAGAAGAACAAGGAUGAGAGUAACUGUUCAUCCCUUGACGGUAUCUAACCAGAAAGCCACGGCUAACUACGUGCCAGCAGCCGCGGUAAUACGUAGGUGGCAAGCGUUGUCCGGAUUUAUUGGGCGUAAAGCGAGCGC
This 509-nucleotide ribosomal RNA is filed under the name Enterococcus durans. Its description in RNAcentral is "bacterial SSU rRNA". It matches the Rfam family "Bacterial small subunit ribosomal RNA", at positions 76 to 572 of the family's 1533-position model. Lineage: Bacteria; Bacillati; Bacillota; Bacilli; Lactobacillales; Enterococcaceae. The record is from RNAcentral.